GCCGCCGACUUGGCGAAUCCCGCGGCGGGGACCCGGGAGGGCUGCGAGCUCGGCCUGGCAAAGUUCCUGUGGAAACUCCAUGUUUAGAAACUCGAGCGGCGGGGCGGGAGGAGGGGAGCGCGCGGCGCGGGGGCGGCCGGCACCCGCCUUCCACGCCCGGGAGGGUCGGCCCCCCAGCCCGUGGGCAGUCUGGAGGGGGGCGAGGGGGGCGAGGAGGGCCGGUCCCCGGGCCCGUUCCUUUGUGCCUGCCCCACUCUUUCCUCCACACUCGAAAGGAAAUUUCUAAACCCCUUUCAUUUAUUGAAUUCAGCAAGAGAGGAAGGCUGCCUUUUUAGGGACCCUGAUAUUGAGGGUAAUUUCGUAUUUGACACAUGUAAAUACUUAGUACUCUCAGGUAAGGUCAAAUUAUUUAUCAUCUUAAUUUAUAUUUCAAUAGGCCUACAAUUUAGAGGCGCGAAAUGCCUCCUUAUGAAUCAUUAUGGUCUAUUAGGAGAAGUAAUGUAUAAACAGCACUAUUUGGGAGGGAAUCACUUAUGUUGACAUUUAAAUGGCUCUUCAAUAGUUAAAAAAAAAAGACAUUCAAGUGCCUUUGAUUAAAUAUACAAUUUACAAGACCAUCAGCAAAGCCAUCAGGAAUAUAAAUUCUUCCUGGGAUUUUUAUUUAUUUAUUUCCGAUUUUUUUUAAGCCUUCCAGGGCAUGUCAUUUAAUCCCUAUGGGAAAAUCUACACAUUUCAAGCAAAAUAUCAUCCUCCUCUCCCUCGGUUAACGUCUUCUCAGGAACCCAGGGAAGUGCUGAUUAUGUGAGCAAGCACCCCAGUGGGAAGUUUGUAGAUCUUUGUACCUGGGUAACAGAAUCAAGACUUUCUAACGAUAUUGCAACUGAUUUGUGAAACAUGGUAGCUUCCCUGCUCGAGUGGAACCUUCCUGAAGGCCUUUGUCCAUCCAUCCUGGUGUUCCCACAGCACUCAGCACAGGGCCUCCUCUGGUAAUUUUGUCAUCCUCCUACACCUGCUACAAUAUCCCUGCAGAAGCUCUUCCUGGCUGCCCCCUCCCCCAACUCAUGUACUCUUUAUUGAAUUACCCUGUCGUAUUCAUUCCCUCGAAGCAUCUCCCAUCUUCAGAAUGCCCUUCCUUGACCCCACAUCUCCUUCCUCGGCUCCCUAUUUAUCUGUUCCCCUGCACAGCUGUACUUCUCAAAGGAGCUGUCUACAUCCAUGGAGCAUUUCCAUUUUCUUACCUUGUGUACACUCUAAAAAUCAGCUAGGUUUGAAGUUAUUCUAUGAUUUGGGGAUAAAUGCAGCUUUGUUUGUAACAGCAUAACGUUAGAAACAAGCUAAACAUCCAGCAAUGACAUUGAUGUUGCAUGCGUGCAAUGAAAUAUUCUGUAGCUAUUUUAAAAAUAAAGAUCUGCUCUGUCUGUGUACUGAUAUGGAAUGACCCCUAAGGUCUGUUGUUAAGCGGAAAACAUAGGUGCAGAGGAAACGGAUGUAUAUAGUAUAUUACGAUUUGGGUAUGUUACAGUUUAUGUAAAAACAAAGUAGGGGAGAAUGUAGACACAUAUUUGUAGGUGCGGUAAACAUCCUGAACACUCCUGGGGAGCACCCCCUACCACCACUUUUCUUUGUACAUCUGCAUGCCCUCCAGUUUCAUUUUCAGAAACGGGAACACUGCACAAGCUAUUCUGUAUCUCACCUAUGAAACUUAUCGAUACAUCUUGCAGGUCAUUUUCUAUCAGCACUUGGAGAUGGGCCUUGUCUGUGUCAAGGUUCAUGGAAUUUCACUGUCUAGAUACAACGUUUAUCACACUCUUCACCCCACACCUCCAUCCUCCCUGGCCAUUCUGCAGAAAGAACUCAAGAUCACCAGUCAUUUCCCUGUUGCCAGGAGUGGGGGUGGGGGGGGGGUCUCAGUCCUUCCUUGGCCUUGGAAGCACUCAACGCCCCGGACCACUCCCCCCUUAAACUGCUCUUGGCUUCCCAGAUGCGGCACACACACGGUUUUCAUCCUACCUGAGUCUCUUUCUGGACUCUUCUCUGUGCUCUACUGGUUGCUUGGGCCUGAAUCCUCCCCUUUUCGCCCCAGUCUCAUCCAGGCCGAUGGCUUUAAAUACCACCUACUUGCUGAUGACUCCUAAAUUUUUUCCCCAGUUCCAGACCCCCAUAUCAAACUGCAGACCUGACCUCUGCGCUUGGCAGUCUCUGUCCAGCUUAGUCAUGCCAACAGCUAACAUUUGCAUAGUGCCGGCAGCACUCUUCUAAGCACUUGCUCUAAAUUAACUGUGAAUCCUUACGACUACCCUAUAAGGUAGGUAGAAUUAUUAUCCACAUUUUACAGAUGAGGAAACUGAGGCAGAAAGGUGACAGAACAUUCCCAAUGUCACUCGGAAAAUGGUGGCACUAGGAUUCAAACGCAGGCAGUCCUGUCUCCAGAGUUCAUGUUCUUAGCCACUCUGCUUCACUGCCUCUAGCAUGCCUAAAAGUGAAUUCUCUUAAAAAAAAUUAAUGAAUCUACAAAUAUUUUGGGGUAUUAACUAGAUGCCAGGCUCUGUGGUGGGUGCUGGGGAAACAGCAGUAAGCUGGACAAACUGUCCCUUAGAAAGGGACAAGCUCUUCCCUUGCCACCUGCCCUUUGUCCCAACUCCCUUCCCUAUCACAGAAAAUGUCUCAGCCACUCAAGCGCUUAAAGCAGAAUCCUGGACAGGUCAUUCUUGGCCUGUCUCUUUCAUCUCCCACCUUACCUUCCUCUGGUUCACUGCAAGGCUAAAAUAACAUUCUACUUCCAAGUGUUCUAGCAAAUAAGCCCACUUCUUCCCGUUGUCCCACAUCCACCUUAGGCCAGGCCACCAUCUUCUCUUGCCUGGAUUAGCAUACAGAAUUAUUAUUCCAGCUGGUCUCUGUGCUGCCACUGUCACCUCCCUCCAACCCAUCCUCCACAUGGCAGCUAGAAGGGUCUUUUGAAAACAUGUCACAUGUCACUACCCCACUAGUUCCCACUGCACUUGGAACAAAACCCAAACUCCUUAACAAGGCUUACAAUCCCUGCCACGUCGUAGCUUGCCACUGUCUAUCUCACCCUCUGAGGACCAGCACACAGGCCUGUUGUCAGCUCCUUAAUAGGCUCUGAGUGUUUCUCCCUGGGCUGUCAUCUCUCCAACAAGACUGUACACUCUGUAAGGACAGAGCGCAUCAUCACCAUCUACUAAGUUUGCAUCGAUGUCCAGCAAUGAGCACAUAUAAACAUAAUGUUCUCAUAAUGUUGUUCGCAGCUGCAUCUCAUGGUGCCUAGCAUGGUACCUGGCCUGUAUAGAUGCUAAAAAAAAAUUUGAUAAACAAUCAGCGAAUGACAGAAUGCUUAAUACCUUUUUGCUAACUGAUUCUAUAUCCUAUAUCAUGGCCAGAGAAGAAACCAAGUUCAAGAAAGCAAGACAACUGUAGGCGUGUGCUUCUGGAAAAGGGGAUGCUGGGCGGGCAGGGAGUGGCUCUGUCGUUCUGGUGAGGAUUGAGGCAGAAGAAAUUUGGAAAGUGAAGCAUGAAGCCGGAGGUGCCACUAUGGUCUGGGGAGGUCCAGGGGAGGCCCAUGGGAGUGUGGGGUGCGUGGCUACAGGUCCGUGUCAGAGGAGCCGAGGUUUCUGGGUGUGCACAAUUGUGCGGAGGCCUUGGACGUCCUAUCCUUGCUAAGUGCUGCAGAAUGUCAUCCCCGGGAGAUGAGAGAGGGACAUCCUAGCCGAGAGCAAGACAGAGCCCAAACCAGAACUCCUUAGAGUCCUUUGCCUCUUGCCAACCAUUUGGUGGCAAAAGAUGGAAGCUGUUUUGCUUCUUGAGACCCUCAGAAACCAGAAGAGUGGGUUCUGGUUACACUUGAUCUUGGGCAGUUGGAGUUCUCUCAAUUCUAUGCCCUUUGACUUCUAACAGUAACUGUGCCGCUACAAUGCAUUUGAUAGCAAAGCAAGUGAGGAAGACAAAUCCCUACAUGAUAAAAAUAGCUACUGUUUAUUAAGGACCUUCACUCUUUUCAGUUACUGUAUUAGGUACAUUUCCAAGUUACCUCACGUAAGCCCCAAAAUAACCCUAUGGGUUAAGUAUCACGAUUCACAUUUUAUAGUUAAGGAAACUAAAGCUCUUACAAUUGCCCCCAAAAUACAUAGCUAAUCCAGCCACGGGGCUUCUACCUGACCCCAAACCUGGGCGCUUUCCAGUAGAGUCUAUUGCUUGCCUCCCACACGCAUGCACUGUUCCCUCACACCUUAAACUAUUUCUGGGAUUCGAUCCUACACAGCUCUCCAAUCGUGUCCUUCUGGGGUCGUCCUGGCAACUCACCAACUGCAGUAAAUAUCGCGAAAGGAGUUUGUCUCUUUCUGGGAUCAGCAGGUCUCAGCUGAUCCGUUACGUUCACCAUGGGAAUCUAAGAAUUUAUCAUCUGAGUGAAGAGUUGCCUUCCUCCCAGUAAUGAUUUAAGGCUGCUUCCAAAGAUACACAAAACCCAGCAAAGAUAAAUAGAAGUGGGACAUGAGUUAUAAUGUCAUGCCUGCUCACACACCUUUGCCCCAGUCCACAUAGGAGGACUGAAUUUAUAACGCCUUUCAAAAAUGAGGGCUUCUCCAAGUUUUUCUCGAAGGAUUCCACCGGCCAGACAGGGCUCUGGAAGCUCAGCCCUCAAGACUUGCCGCACGUGGGAGGCUGCUGGGAGACCGUUUUGAAAAUGCAAGCACACACAGCAACAAGGACGCAUCCCACAAAUGAAACGUUCCGCAAAAGAAGUCUGCCUCAAACGACUGUGCACAAUAGUGUUCCAUUUACAUCAAGUUUUAAAGGGGGCCAAGCCAAUCGAAGGUGUCAGAAGCCAGUGUAGGGGCUACGUGGAGGAAGGGGGACAAUGGAGAGGGGCAUACCCCUUGGGAGGGGGCGCAAGGGGGACUUCUGGGGGGCUGGGCAUACUCUGCACCUUGAUUUGGAUGCUGGCUACACGGGUGUGCUCAGCUUGUAAAAAUUCAUCAAGCUGUACAUUUAGGAUUUAUACACCUUUCUGUCUGCGUGCUGCACGUCGAUAAAAUGUUAACAAAAUAAAAAAUACAAUAAAUUAAAAAAUACAUAAACAGACUGGGGAAGAGUAAGGCUUAUAGCCGCUCUCGAGCUCUGGACAGGAGACCUGGCUGCAGGAGACGGGGCCACUCGGGGCGCGAGGGGAGGGCAGUGAGGUUGUUCUAGAGACAGCCAGGAAGCACAGUUUAAAACCACGUGAACAGAAGCAAACUUUCUGCUCCAUAAGAGAGUGACGCGCGGGGCACAUGCGCCAUCUUCACCCUGAGGGUUCACAGUGCCGCUUCGCAGCCGCCCUGCCCACAGCCCAGGACUCCCGAGGGAGAGGGGAAGGUAGGCAGCAUCAGCAGAUAGCCAGGCUCCCCAUCCUGUCUUCCCUCUCUCUUCCUCUCCUCUGCAGGAACUUCCUUCCACUCCAGCCAAAGUGGACUGUUGGCCAUCCCUGACACAGGCCCAGCCUUUCUCCAAUUGUGCGUGCACGUUCCCCUCCAGGAACUCCUUUCACCCUUCCUUCCUCUAGCCGUGCUUCUUCUCCCUGGUCCCCCCAUCCAGCUGGUCAUAACAUGCAGUUCUGCAGAAAAUGCAGUUCGGGAACCUGGAAGUCGCCUUUGACCUCUCUGACGGCCUAACCCCUCCCCAAAUCCUCUAUGCAGCUCUAGGAAUCACACAUCCCCUCUGUAUCCAGCGCCUGCCCAGCACAAGCUCUUGCCUAAGCCAUGGCAACGACCUCCUAACCGGUCCCCUUCAUCUACUCCUGCCCCUCUGCAGUCCAUUUCCCACACAGCAGCCAACGCAACAACCGCCCCCCAGGAUACCAACCGCUACCGGGUGCCAGGUGCACUUCCAGGCCCUCAGCCUGCCCUGGGGAACAGAUCGGAUGCCUGCCUUCAAGGUGCUUAUAUUCCAGCAGGAGAGAGAUGGAUGAUAAACAAUAAAGGUGACAGAGCAUAAAAUUACCUUGGGUGGUAG
This is a non-coding RNA of Equus caballus (horse), 6006 nucleotides long. The record is from RefSeq and is a predicted model, not a curated record. Lineage: Eukaryota; Metazoa; Chordata; Mammalia; Perissodactyla; Equidae.